Molecule: long non-coding RNA, 1066 nt
Organism: Triticum dicoccoides
Lineage: Eukaryota; Viridiplantae; Streptophyta; Magnoliopsida; Poales; Poaceae
Exons: 2
Source: RefSeq, a predicted model, not a curated record
AAGCCUCAGCCACUCAAUCUAGUCCCCAUUGCAUCGCUUUCUUUCUAUCCCAGCACGGAGCAGUGGUGCCGCAUCGCCUGCGCCGCCGCAAGCGCGCAUCCACCGCCUGCUGAUGCGAGAGCCCAUCUCCUACUACAGCGAGCAGCUCCUCCUCUACUUCUCUAACUGUUGUUUGCCGCCGCGCGUAGAUGGAGUUCAUCGCUUCACGCUCCCGCUGACUAGCGGUGAUGCGUGGGCGGCUGGCCGUGCCUCCUCACUGGGGAGGAUAGCAACAUCGCUGAUGCUACAACCACCGCCCAUGGUGCUGGAGAGGACGACAUGGGGCGCUGCAACCUGCAAUCGCUGGUGCCGGGCGCGCGCCCGGUGUUGGGAUGCUACCACCGGCACCCCGCGGUGUUGGAACCAUCGACAAAAAAGUUGCAACCCACAAUCGUCGAUGCUGGAAGACCAAUGCGGCACCAGGUGUUUGGGAUGCUACAACCGGCACUUGGCGGUGCUGGAACCGUCGACAUGGGAAGCUGCCACCGACAAUCACCAGUGCUAGAAGAAGGCGGCGAGGUCUAAUCGGUUCUGAAACAAACAACAAUUGAGUCAUUUUUGCUGGAACCCUUUACAUGGUGCUGCAAGCCGACUAAAGUGGCGAGCUGGAGGCGGUGAUAAUGGGAUGUUGCAACCAAGGUCACGGGGACCGGCCGGUGGAGAGCUAGAGUCGAAGUUGGGAACCAACCGAAGCCUGUGCUGCAAUCUCGCUGCCGACGACGGUGAGAGCUGAGAACGGGCGACGGCCGCAGCACGAGCGACCGACGAGCUCGAGUGGCCGAAAAACAUGGGAAGCAGAGGACGAGUCCAAGGGGCCGACGAGGUAGUUUCCAUCGUGUUUGACUAUUUUUCGGGCUGUUUAGCGAUUCAUCUGGACGUUUUAAGGCUCUGUAUCCUACGAUCGCACGACGACCGGACUAAAUUUGGGCCGGUCGACCGGUGCCUAUCAUCACCCAAGUUCAAAACAAUGAUAUCUUAUUGUAGACAAGGGUGCAUAUUGGAAUGACAAACAAUAUUUUUAGAGGGA